GGAGAGGUGCCUGAGCGGUCGAAAGGGGCACCCUGCUAAGGUGUUGUGCCCUAACGGGUACCGGGGGUUCGAAUCCCCCCCUCUCCG
RNAcentral lists this transfer RNA (87 nucleotides) under Candidatus Magasanikiibacteriota bacterium. RNAcentral describes it as "tRNA-Ser". It matches the Rfam family "tRNA". From Rfam's summary of the family: Transfer RNA (tRNA) molecules are approximately 80 nucleotides in length. Their secondary structure includes four short double-helical elements and three loops (D, anti-codon, and T loops). Lineage: Bacteria; Candidatus Magasanikiibacteriota. The record is from RNAcentral.